GUAUUUUACAGCACUGCUGAAUAGGUAUUUCAGAGAUGCAAAAAGAGAACACCUGUCUCUGCAGCACCUAAGGGAAUGGCAUGAAGCUGUAUCAGGUUGUACAUGUGCUGAGUGUUGUUGACUUGUUAAUGUGGUGUUGCCUUCAAAGACAAGCUGUAAACUGACACGGAGAAUUUAUCACUGGGCAGAUUGACUCAGACAUCCCAUCCAUUCACAAAGCUUGCAUAUGACAAUGGAAGGAAGUUGUCUUGGGAAGGAGGAGAAUCUCAGCCACCUACAAGACAGGUCAGAAGGGUUAUACUUAAUAUAAGAGGGGAAUAUUUAAACUGGUCUCACAUAAAUGUGAAACAACACAUUUAAAAAAUUG
This 367-nucleotide long non-coding RNA is filed under the name Anser brachyrhynchus (Pink-footed goose). RNAcentral describes it as "lncRNA (ENSABRG00000011593.1)". Lineage: Eukaryota; Metazoa; Chordata; Aves; Anseriformes; Anatidae. The record is from RNAcentral.